GAUGAACGCUGGCGGCGUGCCUAAUACAUGCAAGUCGAGCGAACGGACGAGAAGCUUGCUUCUCUGAUGUUAGCGGCGGACGGGUGAGUAACACGUGGAUAACCUACCUAUAAGACUGGGAUAACUUCGGGAAACCGGAGCUAAUACCGGAUAAUAUUUUGAACCGCAUGGUUCAAAAGUGAAAGACGGUCUUGCUGUCACUUAUAGAUGGAUCCGCGCUGCAUUAGCUAGUUGGUAAGGUAACGGCUUACCAAGGCAACGAUGCAUAGCCGACCUGAGAGGGUGAUCGGCCACACGGGAACUGAGACACGGUCCAGACUCCUACGGGAGGCAGCAGUAGGGAAUCUUCCGCAAUGGGCGAAAGCCUGACGGAGCAACGCCGCGUGAGUGAUGAAGGUCUUCGGAUCGUAAAACUCUGUUAUUAGGGAAGAACAUAUGUGCAAGUAACUGUGCACAUCUUGACGGUACCUAAUCAGAAAGCCACGGCUAACUACGUG
Molecule: ribosomal RNA, 497 nt
Filed under: uncultured bacterium
Lineage: Bacteria
Description: partial 16S ribosomal RNA
Rfam family: Bacterial small subunit ribosomal RNA
Source: RNAcentral